UACGUAGGCAGCAAGCGUUGUUCGGAGUUACUGGGCGUAAAGGGUGCGUAGGCGGCUCAGUAAGUCAGGUGUGAAACCUCCAGGCUCAACCUGGAGACGCCACCUGAUACUGCUGUGGCUAGAGUCCGGUAGGGGAGCGUGGAAUUCCUGGUGUAGCGGUGAAAUGCGCAGAUAUCAGGAGGAACACCAGCGGCGAAGGCGGCGCUCUGGGCCGGAACUGACGCUGAGGAGCGAAAGCGUGGGUAGCAAACAGG
Molecule: ribosomal RNA, 254 nt
Filed under: uncultured bacterium
Lineage: Bacteria
Description: partial 16S ribosomal RNA
Rfam family: Bacterial small subunit ribosomal RNA
Source: RNAcentral